UGGAAGCAAACUGCACAACAACUUUAACCACAACAACUUUAACCUUUUCCAGGCCUCCCUUGGUUUCACCCCGGCACAAGCAGCCGUCCAGGAGAGGUUCUACAUCUGUGCUGAGAUGUGGUCCCUGCUGUCCUGCCCCAUCCAGGACCUGGUAAUUGACAGCACCAGGGACGUCUGGCUAGGAUUUGUAGGCUCAUCUACCUACCAAGUAGGGAGCGGCACCUGGCCCGGCUGGAAGGCGAUCGGCGGCAACGCGGCGGAGUCUGCCGCCUUCCCCUGGCUCCUGCAGUAAUACAAACACCUUUUCUGAGGUAAAUACCUUCCAGCUCUA
This 331-nucleotide long non-coding RNA is filed under the name Cyanistes caeruleus (blue tit). RNAcentral describes it as "lncRNA (ENSCCEG00000012892.1)". The record is from RNAcentral. Lineage: Eukaryota; Metazoa; Chordata; Aves; Passeriformes; Paridae.